This 433-nucleotide ribosomal RNA is filed under the name uncultured bacterium. Its description in RNAcentral is "partial 16S ribosomal RNA". It matches the Rfam family "Bacterial small subunit ribosomal RNA", at positions 29 to 507 of the family's 1533-position model. The record is from RNAcentral.
AGCGAACGCUGGCGGCAGGCCUAACACAUGCAAGUCGAACGAACUCUUCGGAGUUAGUGGCGGACGGGUUAGUAACCCGUGGGAACGUGCCUUUUGGUUCGGCAUAACUCAGGGAAACUUGUGAUAAUACCGAAUGUGCCCUUCGGGGGAAAGAUUUAUCGCCAUUAGAGCGGCCCGCGUCUGAUUAGCUAGUUGGCGAGGUAACGGCUCACUAAGGCGAGGAUCAGUAGCUGGUCUGAGAGGAUGACCAGCCACACUGGGACUGGGACACGGCCCAGAAUCCUACGGGAGGCAGCAGUGGGGAAUCUUGCGCAAUGGGCGAAAGCCUGACGCAGCCAUGCCGCUUGAAUGAUGAAGGUCUGAGGAUUGUAAAAUUCUUUCACCGGGGACGAUAAUGACGGUACCCGGAGAAAAAGCCCCGGCUAACUUCGUG